GUCAACGUUGAUGGCACUCAGAGGACUGUGCAGUGUCUUUCUCGGGACGCAGGUGGAAACAUGAGCAUCCAGUUUCUUGGCACAGUGGUGAGUACCAAAAAGUACUGUUCGUCCUCUUGCUCAGAUAGUGUGCUUGGCUUUCUCCCAUGUUUCUGCUGCCUUUGUUGUGGUUUUAUUUUGCUAUCAAAUUGAGACAUCUCUGUAUGAGAAGCAGGACACGUGAGAAAAGCUUCUGUCCUGAAAAUAUUCCUGUUGCAUCUUCUCAGAGAGGAAAUGCUUCUCUAGUUUCAGUUCGUUGAAUAGUUGUAGUUUCUCUCUAAUGGCUUGAUUUUUUUUCCUCUGUAUUCUUAAAAAUAAGACGUAUGAUAUAAAAACAAUACAUUUGACUUUCCCCCCUCAGUUUGCUUUCUGGCUUUCUCUGUUGAGUUCCUCACAUCCACCUUUCUCAUGACAUCGGAUCAUAGUUUUAUAUCUUCAUUAUUCACAUAUGAGUCAUGUUAUUUUAUAUAUUGGUAU
Molecule: long non-coding RNA, 516 nt
Filed under: Rattus norvegicus (Norway rat)
Lineage: Eukaryota; Metazoa; Chordata; Mammalia; Rodentia; Muridae
Description: long non-coding RNA NONRATT010710
Source: RNAcentral